Molecule: long non-coding RNA, 285 nt
Filed under: Actinidia chinensis (golden kiwifruit)
Lineage: Eukaryota; Viridiplantae; Streptophyta; Magnoliopsida; Ericales; Actinidiaceae
Description: long non-coding RNA (ACHI_LNC003628)
Source: RNAcentral
AUUUAGUGCUUUUGCACAAGUUAAUUAUGAAGUUGGUGUCCCGUUGUUUCUCAAUGUCACGUUCUCUCUAUUUGAGUGCCUUUGAAAUUGCUAAGGGUGGGGACUGGGAAUAGAAUGAUAUGUUCAUUAAACUGCUCCACACUCUAAAGCAUGUAUAGGUAUCCAAGCUUUUACUUGCAUCUCUGUAUAUAGAGAGAAUAGUGAUGCUUAUAUGUACUCAUUAUGUAGGCUGCUCAUACUCAGAAGGACAACGAUCUGAUGUGAUGUGGGGUCUUGCAUAACUGU